CGUGUAUUUGUCAAGAAGUGGGCGUGAUACGCUAUUGUGAGGGGGGAUCAUCGCUAGGCAUUUAUGUUUCCGGAAGACUGGAGCUGUAGCAUUGUCUGCCGAAUUCGGUGAAAUACCAAACUAGUGACUUAAUAUACAUACAUUUCAUUCUUGAUAGAAAGCAGCUUGUGUACGGGAAUGUGAUAGGGGAUGUUCAGUGUCUGUGAAAACGGUGUUGAUUUUGGCAAGUCAUCAAGUGAUGGUCUGAUGGCAAGUGGAAACCCUGCAAAUUUUUCUGCUGAUGAGAUUCUGUCUGUUGUUUGGGGUCGCCAAGAAAUCAACGAAUCUGUAUUCAACCGCUGGAAUCAGGGUUUUGUGUUCAGUGCUGACGAGCCCUGUGCACUUGUGCAGUAUGAAGGUGGACCUUGCAGUGUCAUUGCCCCUGUGCAAGCUCACAUUUUCAAGAACAUGUAUGAAAAAUACCCAGACUCAUGGGAAAAGCUGACGGCGCGGGAGGCGAACGAGCUGCUGGCCUCGUCGCUGUCGGAGAUCCUGGGUCGGUGCGCCGGCGGCGCCGCGUCUGUCCGGCUGGUGACGCCUGA
Long non-coding RNA from Pollicipes pollicipes, 581 nucleotides. RefSeq lists it as uncharacterized. The transcript has 3 exons. The record is from RefSeq and is a predicted model, not a curated record. NCBI's taxonomy places the organism in Eukaryota, Metazoa, Arthropoda, Thecostraca, Pollicipedomorpha, Pollicipedidae.